RNAcentral lists this long non-coding RNA (314 nucleotides) under Androctonus crassicauda. Lineage: Eukaryota; Metazoa; Arthropoda; Arachnida; Scorpiones; Buthidae. The record is from RNAcentral.
AGAGCCCUAAACUACUGUACAGACAGUACGGAGUAUGAAAAAGAAGUACAGUACAUUCUAGACUUAGGAAUGAAGCAUGGAUACAGAAAAGGAUUCCUAUAUGCGAUUUUAGAAAAAGUUAAGAAUAACAAAAAAGAAGUAAGACCGCGUCAAGAUACAAAUGAUACCAGAGAACAGCAAUGCUCAGAAAACACACCUCAUAUUUAUGUGCCAGUUCCGUAUCAUUUAGCUAGAUGCCCGGCUGUGAAAAAAGCCAUUAACUUAGCCAACAACAAGUUAGCCAUACAAAGAAAUCCUACGAUCUUCGAAUGCCU